This 88-nucleotide transfer RNA is filed under the name Deltaproteobacteria bacterium. RNAcentral's name for it is "tRNA-Ser". It matches the Rfam family "tRNA". Rfam says of the family: Transfer RNA (tRNA) molecules are approximately 80 nucleotides in length. Their secondary structure includes four short double-helical elements and three loops (D, anti-codon, and T loops). The record is from RNAcentral. Lineage: Bacteria; Pseudomonadati; Myxococcota; Myxococcia. RNAcentral also lists the same sequence under 1 other name.
GGAGGGAUGACCGAGUGGCCGAAGGUGCACGAUUGGAAAUCGUGUGUAUCGCAAGGUACCGAGGGUUCGAAUCCCUCUCCCUCCGCCA